This 446-nucleotide ribosomal RNA is filed under the name uncultured bacterium. Its description in RNAcentral is "partial 16S ribosomal RNA". It matches the Rfam family "Bacterial small subunit ribosomal RNA", at positions 338 to 795 of the family's 1533-position model. The record is from RNAcentral.
CCUACGGUGUGCAGCAGUCGAGAAUCAUUCACAAUGGGGGAAACCCUGAUGGUGCGACGCCGCGUGGGGGAAUGAAGGUCUUCGGAUUGUAAACCCCUGUCAUGUGGGAGCAAAUUAAAAAGAUAGUACCACAUGAGGAAGAGACGGCUAACUCUGUGCCAGCAGCCGCGGUAAUACAGAGGUCUCAAGCGUUGUUCGGAAUCACUGGGCGUAAAGCGUGCGUAGGCUGUUUCGUAAGUCGUGUGUGAAAGGCGCGGGCUCAACCCGCGGACGGCACAUGAUACUGCGAGACUAGAGUAAUGGAGGGGGAACCGGAAUGCUCGGUGUAGCAGUGAAAUGCGUAGAUAUCGAGAGGAACACUCGUGGCGAAGGCGGGUUCCUGGACAUUAACUGACGCUGAGGCACGAAGGCCAGGGGAGCGAAAGGGAUUAGAGACCCCAGUAUUC